This 275-nucleotide ribosomal RNA is filed under the name uncultured bacterium. RNAcentral describes it as "partial 16S ribosomal RNA". It matches the Rfam family "Bacterial small subunit ribosomal RNA", at positions 523 to 796 of the family's 1533-position model. The record is from RNAcentral.
ACACGUAGGGCGCAAGCGUUGUCCGGAUUUAUUGGGCGUAAAGGGCUCGUAGGCGGUUUCGUAAGUCGGGUGUGAAAACUCAGGGCUCAACCCUGAGACGCCACUCGAUACUGCGAUGACUUGAGUCCGGUGGGGGAGCAGGGAAUUCCUGGUGUAGCGGUGAAAUGCGCAGAUAUCAGGAGGAACACCAUUAGCGAAGGCGCUGCUCUGGGCCGGUACUGACGCUGAGGAGCGAAAGCAUGGGGAGCAAACAGGAUUAGAAACCCUAGUAGUCC